Molecule: ribosomal RNA, 829 nt
Filed under: uncultured organism
Description: bacterial SSU rRNA
Rfam family: Bacterial small subunit ribosomal RNA
Source: RNAcentral
AUACAUGCAAGUCGAACGGUAACAGGUUCUAAAGCAAUUUAGAAUGCUGACGAGUGGCAAACGGGUGAGUAAUACAUAUGAACUUUCUCUAAGAAGAGGAUAGCCAGUCGAAAGAUUGGGUAAUACUCUAUAUGGCCGAAAGGUUAAAGUUUAAUACGCUUAGAGUGAGGCAUAUGCCCCAUCAGCUAGUUGGUAAGGUAAUGGCUUACCAAGGCUAAGACGGGUAGCUGGACUGAGAGGUUGAUCAGCCACACUGGGACUGCGACACGGCCCAGACAUCUACGGAUGGCAGCAGUAGGGAAUUUUCCGCAAUGGGCGAAAGCCUGACGGAGCCAUGCCGCGUGCAGGAUGACGGCCCUAUGGGUUGUAAACUGCUGUGGUAGCCUACCAAAAAAAUGAGGAGGCUAUUAGAAAGAGGUUGCUAACUCUGUGCCAGCAGCAGCGGUAAUACAGAGACCUCGAGCGUUAUCCGGUAUCACUGGGCGUAAAGCGUACCGAUCGGUUGUUUAGUGUGUCUAAAGUGAAAGACCGAAGCCUAACUUCGUGUUUGCUUUAGAAACUACUAAACUUGAAGGGCAAAGAGGUGGUUGGAACUCUGCAAGUAGGGGUGAAAUCCGUUGAUAUGCAGGGGAACACCAAAAGCGAAGGCAGACCACUAGGUGCCUCUUGACACUGCUAGGACGAAAGCGUGGGGAGAGAACGGGAUUAGAUACCCCGGUAUUCCACGCCCUAAACGAUGAGUGCUAGUUUCCGGGGAAAGUCAAUCUUCCUCGGAGACAAAGCUAACGCAUUAAGCACUCCGNCUGUAGAGUACGAGCGCAAGCUUAAA